Molecule: long non-coding RNA, 6289 nt
Organism: Mauremys reevesii (Reeves's turtle)
Lineage: Eukaryota; Metazoa; Chordata; Testudines; Geoemydidae
Exons: 5
Source: RefSeq, a predicted model, not a curated record
UGUAUAGUGGCAGUUUUUAUUCCUGUCCCAUCACUGCUCUCUGCUAACACUGGCCCAGAUUUCUCUCUAGCAGUCCUGGGCUUGAUAGGGUGUGAAGGGCCAGGGUUCUCUGCGUGGUUGUAGGUUACCACAACACAUUGCUGGCCAUCACUACACUUCCUAGGACAUGUGGCUUCCUGGAUAAGGACUGCACAGAAGCACUGGCUCCUGCCACUUCCAUUGUUAGGAAAGAACCAUCAAGCACGUCUGGUGUCAGGAUUUAAAAGGAGAGCAACGUGUACAAAACGGUUGAAUAUUCUGUGUUCCCACCGCUUAUCAUCAAAGGGACUUGUGCUUCAACCAGGGCUGAAGGAGUCUGCAACAAAGACACAGUCCUGCCCUUACAACAGCACGGCACGGUGCCACAUGAAUGCCUGUGAUGUUGUAAAUACAGUAUUAUGAUGUCACUGCAGGAUCACUGGGCAGCAGAGGCUGGAGCUGGGGAAAAGUGAGUGCCCUGAGCAGAAUACAAAGGAUCUUUGAUCACUGGCAAACAUGAGAUGAUAUGUGAUGAAAACAGCAUGGAGGGUGCGGGCUACCUGGGAGAGUAUCCUGGUCUAACAGUCACUUUCCAGUUAUAGUCCUUGAAAAUCAUCAUCACCAAUACAGAUGGGCCAGAACCAGACCCUGAAUCCAAUCCCACCACUUUGGUUUGUUCCAAAUCCAGCUCCGAGUCUGAAUUUUGCAGCUUGAACCCACCUCUGCUUCAUUCACACUUUACAUCUUUAAAGCACUUUACCCGCAGUGAGCCAGUUUCCACACUCAGUUACACCAGUGAAAAUCAGCAGUGCCUGCCUCAAUGGAUUUAUACCAGGAUGAGUGAGAGCAGAACCUGGCCUCCUCCUCAAUACUCACAAGGCUCCUGUGAGGUUGGUCAGUAUUAUCUCCAUUUUGCAGGCUGGGAAACCGAGGCACAGAGCGAUGAAGUGACUUCCCUGAGGCCAUGGAGGGAGUCCAUGUCUGAGCUGGGAUUGGAGCGCAGGAGGUUCUGGCUUCCUGCCUCAGGCUUUCCUUACUCCAAGUGACUCCAACAAAAUGGCUUUUUGGUGCACUUGUCUCACGGAGCUUACCCCUAGUUUCUGCCCCACUGACUCCAAAUUGGGUGAGUGUCAGCCUCUUCUUUGUAUCUCUGCCAUCACAGAGCUGGGAGGCUUGUAACUCAGCCCAGGGGCGGAAUGGUACAGACAGGAUCACGGGAAAGCAGAGAGCCCCUCCACUACCAGCCCCAGUGACUUAACUUCUCCAUAAUUAAUUAAGUGCUUCUGUAUGUACGGCCAUCCACUGGGGCCUCCCAAAUACAGAUUAUCUACCUCAGUGCGGACGCAGGAAACAUUACAAGUGAGUCCAGGAGACAAUACAUCUUCGCUGUCUGACAUAAUGUAAAUGAUGGCUGGCUUGCAUGGCACCCAGGCCAGGUCUGAUUCCCAGAAAGCUGAGCGGAACUGUCUGCUUGAGGCGCUCAGGAUUCUCAGUUCCAGCCACAGAGAUGCCCAUUUCCAGGUGGACGAGGCGACUCAGAGCCAGGAGCAAAAGGCCUUCUCAUUUGCACAGCAGAGCAAAGAGCAGUGCUGAAGAGUCCUUUACCCUGCAGCAGGGCUCAGAGCAACUGAAUGAAAGGAUGGAGCCAAGGAGAUAUUGCCUAUCUGGACAGGACAUCCUAAGGAAACCAACAAGUGAAUCUUCUGGCAUUCAACAUCCUCCCUCAAGCAGAGGAUGGUCAUUAAUAGAAAUGGGUCUCUGCUCAGUAUCCUACGAGAGCCUUAUGUUUUGCUUCUUGCAGUAGAUUAACAUUAUCAUCAUUUAUAUAGCGCCAGAAGCGUACAUGGCAUCAUUCAACGAGGCCUGUGCCAAACAAUUAAGAAGUCUGUGCUCUGAGCAGUUGAUAGAGUGCAGAUAAUACAGUCCAAACCAGACUGCAUGGGGCAUGAUCAUGAGAGCAGGUGUGCUUCAUGGACUGCGGGGAGAGGGAGUCGUAGAGGGGGUUUGAACCACCAGGGAGGAAGUUUGGUGUACACUGCUUGGGAGGCUGUAGAGGACUUUACAGGAUGCUACCAGUGGUCUUUGUUAAUGUUAAGAAAUGGGAUCUGAACCCCAGCUGCCUCCCUAGCAUCUCCCAAGCAAGGACCUCAAUGUGCUUUACAAAUGAGAGAAUUCUACCUCCCAGAAGGGAGAUUGCAAGUGGUAUUCCAGAUGGACACACCUGGACUGAUCAGAGGUUAAACCAUGCCUGGGAAAGCAUCAAGCAGCAUCUCUGAGUCGCUUUGGCUCCAAGGGACACCUGAGCAGGGUUGAAAAUAAAGGCUCACAGAUGGCAGGAGGGGAAAGCAGUGGUAAUACGCGAAAGCCCAUGAGGCAGUGGAAGCUCUCAUUAGCCACCCUACAAACUGGAGCGUUUAGCCUUUGAGCCCUGGCACCGGGAGAAGCUGUCCAGAUACCGAGGCGUUGCACAGGACAGCCACUUGACCAGAGUGUUUAAUAAUAAGGCUGGACGCGGAGCUGAAGGUCGGUGACCCUGUGUACAAGCAGGGCGUCAGUGUCUGCUGUAGCGGCAAGAGGGAAAUGUUGAUGAGUAAAGGAGAGCCUAGAGAUGAGGAUUAAAACGGAGCUUUGCAGAGCUGCCCAAGUUUGUGAAAACAAAGUUGAGCAGUUUCUGUCUAGCGAGUGAUCGCUCCCUGCAGAAAGCACAGUGCCCUGAGCAGGGCAGGUUGAGAAAGUCAGACCUAGGAAAAGGUUGGGGAGCUGGAAAGUGCGGGGGCCAUCUGCACAGGAGGAGAACAGACUCAAUGACCUGAAUGGCUUUUGCCAUCAUGCGUUGCAAUGGCUUGGGAUUCAGCAUGUAGGGCUCCAACCUGUACAGGGUCUCAACAUUCAUCGACUCCAGUCAAUGGAGUCACUGCAGUCAAUGGAGCUGGGCCAGUCUGUACCAGCUGAGGAUCUGGCCCUCUGGCCCUGAGCUGUGUCCAUCUGGGAUGAACCAAGUCUACUGAUCUCCUCUCAGGAGAGGUGUCCUGAUGCCAUGGGCCUUCUUGUGUUUGGGAUGCGAGGCAGUGAAGAGUUCUUGCUCAUCUUCCCAUCCUCACAAGCCUCCCAUUCCCAUGACCCAGGGCUCUGGCUGACUUCUGGAGGCCAAGCGCUUCCUAGAGAGAUGGAGUCAGAGUUUUGCCUGUGCCCUUAGUCACCCUUGGCCGAGGACAGAGCGACAUGAUUGCACCAUACAGGACUGGCUGAGACAAUGAUGCAAUGAAGAGGAAGGAAGGAUGGUUCUGAUGACCUCUCCUCAACCCCCGCACAGCGCUAGUCGAAAUUUCUGUAGGAUCUAAAGCCACAUCCACACGCAGACACCAUUAGCAGAGGGGCCAGGGAUGGAACGGCCCAUGGACGCUGAGCCCCGUGCCCGGUCUCUUCAGGAUGGAGGGGAGAAGAGAAGCUUGCCCUACUGCUGCCCAAUCUGAGCCAGUUGAGUGGAUGGACAGGUGCCUCUAUCUCCCAGGGCUGUCAAUCAGCCAACCCCCACCAGCACCACCUGACAAAGGAAAUUUACCCAAGCCCAUGGACCUGCUGCAGAGAUCUGCUUCCCCGGCAGCAGCCGGGUAUGAAGAGAGUCUCACUCUGCCCGCCCCCAAAGCCUUAAUGAGGCAGAGGCUUCCUGUCCCCUGAACUGACCCCACAUGGGACGCAGAGCUAGGGAAGUACAAGGAAACCCUGCGCCAAACAGCCAGGACACAACAGGGUCUGGGGACUUCAUGUCACCCAGUGUGGCUCCUCCUCCCAACUCAGGAAAGUGACCAAUCAUGAAGAGAGCUGAAGCACUGCUAGCCCUCGGAGACUGGUUAGCUUGGACUGUGAAUGGCACAAAAAGCCUUUUAACUGGAGGCCCCCAGUUUGGAUCUGGCCCAGGGUGAUGGUGACCCGAAGUCUUCACCACAUGGUGGCUGCUCAGGCUGUUCACUGCAGUUCCUAGGACACAAGUGCCCUCAUCCCAGACCAGCCUCGGAUACAGAUUAUCCACCUUGUUGGCAGGCUCAGCGAGGAGACCAGGGACUGAAUGGGUCGUGGAGACCGAAUUCCCCUCUCAGCGCUGGAAGGGCAGAGCUGAGGGGUCUCAUCAAAGGGCACUGGGUGGUAAGGGGGAAGCUUGCCCUGCAGCCACCACCCAUGCAGUGCCUGCUCUGAGGAGAGGGACCCCAAGGUUCCAGGGCUGCCAAGCCAGCACCUACUCAAACCCAUCGCUGCACCUCAAGCCCUUCUCAAACAGGUCACGGAUUCAGCUUGGAAAUGACCUGGAUGAAUGGGAGGGGCUGGGGUAAAGAAAGCCCCUUCAGUUGGCCAGGGUUAUCUACCCCUCCCUGUGGUGCACAUCCUCCCGGUCCAGGCUGGGUAACCAUCCAGCAGCGGCGUUCACGGCAUCAUCCCUGAGAGGUGUUCAAGCAGGAACAACAAUAAAUCAAACCACCAGAUCUAUCCUAAGGGUGCAGGGCUUCCAAACCCAGCCAGACUGGGCACUCACACCACCCGGCAAGGAAUGACCGGGCAUCAAUUUUUCUCUAACGAUAAGAGCAUCAAGCAGCAUUUGCCUGCACCUAUCCCAUCUUGGGUGUGACUCUAUGGGAGAUCACAUGCUAAGCAGCCCUGGGUCAGUUCAGUUAGUUGCCUGGGGAAGAAAAAACCCAGGAUAUUGCUCUUCCUUCUGAAUCAGAACUGAAUGCCAUGCCCCUGUAUGGCAGGGUAGGGGCUGCUGUGUAGCUGGAGGCUCCCUCUUUCCCGAGACAACACAGGUCCUUACACACGCAUGGCCAUCAGAGAUUUCACAGCACUUCUUGCAGGAGCCAAGGCAUUCACCCCCACAUCCUGACUAGAUUCCAGUGGGGUAAAUCCCCCCCUGCAUUUCCAGCUGGGACACAGGAUUUUUCAGCACUGCACUGCACUGUUAAACAGCUGCCAUGUUCCACCCCCGAGGUGGCUGUACUUCAUUGUUGCUCCAUGCAGGUCAACGGUACAUAGCCUGCAAAGCAUUUUGGGACUGUUCCCACGGAAAGGCGCUAGAGGAGUGCAGAGUCAUUACCAUUGCUAGAGACUGCAACAGAAUAUUGCCCCCUUUGAUGGGAAUUAACCAUCUACCACAAAUAUCCUGUCUGACGGAGCAUGGCUGAUAGGAUUAUUUAUUGCCUCAGGCUAGGCACAGGUACCCAGUGGUGAAGCUGCCAACCAGUGAGCAGCUCUCUGCAUCGAUGUGUCCAUAAAUUACCCACUGAACCCAUUAGGGAACCAGGAAGUUUAGGAGGGAGCCAACUUCAGAGGGGAGUGGAAGUGGAGCGCGUCCCUGCAAGUGGGCUGGGGCCAGGCAGCGCGCAAUUAAUCCUCGUUAAUAAUGUCGCAAACAGAAGCGCUCACAUGGUGCACGAAGUGGAACAGAUGCACUCACGCACCUCAGGGGCAUCUUCUAGGGGCCCGCUUCUCCACGUUCCCUCCCAGCCAGCUCCAACGUCUCUCUUUCUCUCUCGGUGAAUCUUUCUCAUUUUUCCUUCACUGCUGCUCUUCCUCUUUCUGGAUUCCUUCCUUUGUCUCUUUCUUUGUGUAUGUUUGCUUCAUCCCUUCCCCCCCCUUUUUCUUUCUCCUCCCCGUCUUUCCUUUCCUUCUCUCCGAUUUUUUCCUUUCCCUUCUCUCUUUCCUUCUCCUCUUUCUGUCUCCCCGCCACAUAGGUACUUCCCUAGGAAGAUGCUCCUCAUACUGUCAGCAAAAUGUCAGCAUCAAUCAGCCAAGCCGGAAAUCACUGGGGACUUCUAAACAAGUCUCCGCUGAUGUUUGGAAUUCCCGCCUGCCCCGGUGCAGGCUCUGAUGGCUGGUGAAACCCGAUGGCUCUCUUCAGCACAUUAUUGUUUGAGACUGCACGAUGCCCCUGAAAUCCCAGAACCAAGACCAGGAAAGGAAAAGCAGUUUCGGGCACUUACCCAGCUGACACACAGAGAGAAACUCUGCCUCACCAAGGCCCGAUAUAAAUAUGCAACUCUUAAAUGAAUAAUAAAAUAAUUACCACCUAGUGCAGUGCCAUGAUUAGCAGGCCUGCUGGGUGACUUCACCUGUCGAAAUAAGUUGAUGGCAGCAAUUUUCAGCAGGAACAAUAGACAGAAUUUGAUGGAGCUUGAGUUCCCAACAAUAGUCCCAGAUCCAGAGAUGCAGGGCCUCAUUUUUCAUUAUACUGUGGCCACCUUGUACCAUUCCGGCAGCGUAAUGGGUGUGUCCAGCCAACAGA